This 465-nucleotide ribosomal RNA is filed under the name uncultured bacterium. RNAcentral describes it as "partial 16S ribosomal RNA". It matches the Rfam family "Bacterial small subunit ribosomal RNA", at positions 28 to 507 of the family's 1533-position model. The record is from RNAcentral.
GACGAACGCUGGCGGCGUGCUUAACACAUGCAAGUCGAACGGAAAGGCCCCUUUGGGGGUCCUCGAGUGGCGAACGGGUGAGUAACACGUGAGUAACCUGCCCUUGACUUCGGGAUAACUUCAGGAAACUGGGGCUAAUACCGGAUAGGAAUCCUUGCUGCAUGGUGGGGGUUGGAAAGCUUCGGCGGUUUUGGAUGGACUCGCGGCUUAUCAGCUUGUUGGUGGGGUAGUGGCUUACCAAGGCUUUGACGGGUAGCCGGCCUGAGAGGGCGACCGGCCACAUUGGGACCGAGAGACGGCCCAGACUCCUAAGGGAGGCAGAAGUGGGGAAGAUUGCACAAUGGGCAGAAGCCUGAUGCAGCAACGCCGCGUGCGGGAUGACGGCCUUCGGGUUGUAAACCGCUUUCAGCAGGGGCGAAGCUUGUGGUGACGGUACCUGCAGAAGAAGCACCGGCUAACUACGUG